AACGAACGCUGGCGGCAUGCCUAACACAUGCAAGUCGAACGAAGGCUUCGGCCUUAGUGGCGCACGGGUGCGUAACGCGUGGGAAUCUGCCCUUUGCUUCGGAAUAACAGUUAGAAAUGACUGCUAAUACCGGAUGAUGUCGCAAGACCAAAGAUUUAUCGGCAAAGGAUGAGCCCGCGUAGGAUUAGCUAGUUGGUGGGGUAAAGGCCUACCAAGGCGACGAUCCUUAGCUGGUCUGAGAGGAUGAUCAGCCACACUGGGACUGAGACACGGCCCAGACUCCUACGGGAGGCAGCAGUGGGGAAUAUUGGACAAUGGGCGAAAGCCUGAUCCAGCAAUGCCGCGUGAGUGAUGAAGGCCUUAGGGUUGUAAAGCUCUUUUACCCGGGAUGAUAAUGACAGUACCGGGAGAAUAAGCUCCGACUAACUCCGUG
Molecule: ribosomal RNA, 433 nt
Filed under: uncultured bacterium
Lineage: Bacteria
Description: partial 16S ribosomal RNA
Rfam family: Bacterial small subunit ribosomal RNA
Source: RNAcentral